This 964-nucleotide long non-coding RNA is filed under the name Gallus gallus (chicken). Lineage: Eukaryota; Metazoa; Chordata; Aves; Galliformes; Phasianidae. The record is from RNAcentral.
CGCUGCGCACUUCUAGUCCUCCAGCUAGCAGAGCACGUUUGGGCUGGUACCAUGAUAUGCUCAUGUGUCAUGAGUUAGCCUUGUUCUUGGUCAGCCUCUUGUUGGGCCCCAGCUGGACGUGUCCAUGGCCUCCUUCCUCACAGUGUUCAGGGGGGAUCGAUUUGCUGCCUGGUGCUCACAAUCGGGCAGGAUCUGGCGUGCCUUCAUGGAGGUGAAGGCGAGAGAGAAAGUGGCAUCUGUCACAAGAUGGAUUGCAGAAUGGAAAAUAAUGGUAAAGCUGCGCUGUCCAGAUCCCACUGCAGAAGGAACUGGGUGCUGAGGCUGUGGGUCUCUUGAGGAGCUCGGCUCUGGUGGAGCAAAGGCCUGCCUGCGUGUCCCACUGCUCCCAACACCCCAAAAAACUGCCCAGACUGAGUGGGCCAGGAGGAGAGUAGAGCUUUAACCCUUGGCACACUCACUGGUUGAGCUGAUGGUCAGGCAGACUUGCUCUAUUACUUACUGUUGGUUCCUAGAGAAGGUGGAAUGUAUUUUAAGAAAAAAAUGGAUUGUCAAAUCCUAAAGUGUGCCAGCACCCAAACCUGAUUUGGUGGUUCAACCUGGGUAGCUGAUAGCCACGACAGCCUACCAUCAUUACACCUCAAAGUCUCCUAGAAGGAGAACAACCCUUGGGAGGACUUGAAGUGCUAGAGCUAGACUUGAGCAGGGGACCAGGCUGCCCGGAGAGGUUUGGAAUCUCCCUCCUUGGAGAUGCUCAGAAGCUGUCUGGACAUGGUCUGUGCAGUCCACUCCAACUGGCCUUCACUGAGGAGGGGUUUGAACCAGCUGACCCCCAGAGGGUGCUUCCAACCUCAUGCACACUGAUUCUGUGACUUAAUGCCUCACAGAAAAUUUGCCAGUGUAUGUGUAUGGCUUUUGAGACUGGGAGUGAUCAGAGGGUAGGUGGCCACCAAGCAGAGCUUAGGAC